This 361-nucleotide long non-coding RNA is filed under the name Ananas comosus (pineapple). Its description in RNAcentral is "long non-coding RNA (ACOM_LNC010193)". The record is from RNAcentral. Lineage: Eukaryota; Viridiplantae; Streptophyta; Magnoliopsida; Poales; Bromeliaceae.
CUCUCUUGUAUUAUUUUAAUUUUAAUAUUCAUAUGACAUAUAUUUAUAAUCAGAAAAUCCUAAACAUAUAUCCUAAUCUUAAUCGAAAUCCUGGUCCGAUUGGAUUAUCCAUUAACCGUCAAGUUGGUUAUAAUAUUAAUCGAAUUCGAAUCCUGAUUCGAUUCGUGUGUAACAUUUACACAUAAGUCCUCAUAUUAUUUACUAACGAUUAGUAAAUACAUCAUGCAUCUUUUACACAUAAAUACCUCUAAUUUACAAUAAUUAUAAAUUAGUCCUUUUACAAAUAAAUUAGUAAACUUUAGUAUUUAACUAUAUUAUAAUUACAAUUAAACCAUCAAAUAAACUUCUUUUAUCGUUUCCU